CCUACGGGAGGCAGCAGUGAGGAAUAUUGGUCAAUGGGCGCGAGCCUGAACCAGCCAAGUAGCGUGAAGGAUGACUGCCCUACGGGUUGUAAACUUCUUUUAUAAAGGAAUAAAGUGAGGUACGUGUGCCUUUCUGUAUGUAUCUUAUGAAUAAGGAUCGGCUAACUCCGUGCCAGCAGCCGCGGUAAUACGGAGGAUCCGAGCGUUAUCCGGAUUUAUUGGGUUUAAAGGGAGCGUAGAUGGGUGGUUAAGUCAGUUGUGAAAGUUUGCGGCUCAACCGUAAAAUUGCAUUUGAUACUGGCAGGCUUGAGUACAGUUGAGGUAGGCGGAAUUCGUGGUGUAGCGGUGAAAUGCUUAGAGAUCACGAAGAACUCCGAUUGCGAAGGCAGCCUACUAAGCUACCGCUGACAUUGAGGCUCGAAAGUGUGGGUAGCAAACAGGAUUAGAUACCCGGGUAGUC
This 460-nucleotide ribosomal RNA is filed under the name uncultured bacterium. Its description in RNAcentral is "partial 16S ribosomal RNA". It matches the Rfam family "Bacterial small subunit ribosomal RNA", at positions 338 to 795 of the family's 1533-position model. The record is from RNAcentral.